ACAACGAAGAGUUUGAUCCUGGCUCAGGACGAACGCUGGCGGCGUGCCUAACACAUGCAAGCCAAGGGGAAAGUUCUUUUCGGAGAGCAAUUACACUGGCGGACGGGUGAGUAACGCGUAGGCAACCUGCCCCUAUGCCUGGGAUAACCCUUAGAAAUGAGGGCUAAUACCGGAUGUGAUCGAGAGACUGCAUGAUUUUUCGAUUAAAGCUGGUUCGCUAGCACAUAGGGAUGGGCCUGCGUUCCAUUAGCUAGUUGGCGAGUUAACAGCUCACCAAG
RNAcentral lists this ribosomal RNA (278 nucleotides) under Sinomicrobium sp. RNAcentral describes it as "partial 16S ribosomal RNA". It matches the Rfam family "Bacterial small subunit ribosomal RNA", at positions 1 to 272 of the family's 1533-position model. Lineage: Bacteria; Pseudomonadati; Bacteroidota; Flavobacteriia; Flavobacteriales; Flavobacteriaceae. The record is from RNAcentral.